GCAGUCGACGAACAUUUAGAACGGAUUACUUCGGUUUGAAGUUCUUUAUGACUGAGUGGCGGACGGGUGAGUAACGCGUGGGUAACCUGCCUUGUACUGGGGGAUAGCAGCUGGAAACGGCUGGUAAUACCGCAUAAGCGCACAAUGUUGCAUGACAUGGUGUGAAAAACUCCGGUGGUAUAAGAUGGACCCGCGUCUGAUUAGCUAGUUGGUGAGAUAACAGCCCACCAAGGCGACGAUCAGUAGCCGACCUGAGAGGGUGACCGGCCACAUUGGGACUGAGACACGGCCCAGACUCCUACGGGAGGCAGCAGUGGGGAAUAUUGCACAAUGGAGGAAACUCUGAUGCAGCGACGCCGCGUGAGUGAAGAAGUAAUUCGUUAUGUAAAGCUCUAUCAGCAGGGAAGAUAGUGACGGUACCUGACUAAGAAGCUCCGGCUAAAUACGUGCCAGCAGCCGCGGUAAUACGUAUGGAGCAAGCGUUAUCCGGAUUUACUGGGUGUAAAGGGAGUGUAGGUGGCCAUGCAAGUCAGAAGUGAAAAUCCGGGGCUCAACCCCGGAACUGCUUUUGAAACUGUAAGGCUGGAGUGCAGGAGGGGUGAGUGGAAUUCCUAGUGUAGCGGUGAAAUGCGUAGAUAUUAGGAGGAACACCAGUGGCGAAGGCGGCUCACUGGACUGUAACUGACAC
Molecule: ribosomal RNA, 688 nt
Filed under: uncultured bacterium
Lineage: Bacteria
Description: bacterial SSU rRNA
Rfam family: Bacterial small subunit ribosomal RNA
Source: RNAcentral